RNAcentral lists this ribosomal RNA (466 nucleotides) under uncultured bacterium. RNAcentral's name for it is "partial 16S ribosomal RNA". It matches the Rfam family "Bacterial small subunit ribosomal RNA", at positions 28 to 505 of the family's 1533-position model. The record is from RNAcentral.
GACGAACGCUGGCGGCGUGCUUAACACAUGCAAGUCGAACGGAAAGGCCCUGCUUUUGUGGGGUGCUCGAGUGGCGAACGGGUGAGUAACACGUGAGUAACCUGCCCUUGACUUUGGGAUAACUUCAGGAAACUGGGGCUAAUACCGGAUAGGAGCUCCUGCUGCAUGGUGGGGGUUGGAAAGUUUCGGCGGUUGGGGAUGGACUCGCGGCUUAUCAGCUUGUUGGUGGGGUAGUGGCUUACCAAGGCUUUGACGGGUAGCCGGCCUGAGAGGGUGACCGGCCACAGUGGGACUGAGAUACGGCCCAGACUCCUACGGGAGGCAGCAGUGGGGAAUAUUGCACAAUGGGCGGAAGCCUGAUGCAGCAACGCCGCGUGCGGGAUGACGGCCUUCGGGUUGUAAACCGCUUUCGCCUGUGACGAAGCGUGAGUGACGGUAAUGGGUAAAGAAGCACCGGCUAACUACG